AACGACUUUGCACAAUUAAAGCACCGAUUAGAAACCCUCAGCCCCUUGAUCUUCUCCUAAACACCAAACAAACCCCAUUAACCAAUGAUUCACUAACAAAAACAAUAAUCGCACUUACCAAACUUAACAAAAACGCACAAUGAGCACCAAAAUAAUGAGAUAUGGAAAUUUGACAGUAGGAAAACAAAACCAAAUUCGCCGAAAAGGAAAACGACGGAGAAAAUGGAAGAGAAAAUAAAGAAAAAAUUAACGUCAGAUUUUUUUGGGAAUUUUUAGAAGAGAGGAAAUUUUAAAAAAAAAAGAAAAUUAAAAAAAAUAUGUUAUCAAAUCCCAACUCCCCCACUAACCACUCAACCUCAACUACCUCAGAAUCCCAGAACCACCGAAACUCUACCAUGCAACCGAGUAGAAAAACACAUCCACGCUAGCGCAAAGAUUCGAAC
RNAcentral lists this long non-coding RNA (443 nucleotides) under Gossypium raimondii (Peruvian cotton). RNAcentral describes it as "long non-coding RNA (GRAI_LNC002644)". Lineage: Eukaryota; Viridiplantae; Streptophyta; Magnoliopsida; Malvales; Malvaceae. The record is from RNAcentral.